UAGUAACGGCGAGUGAAGCGGCAACAGCUCAAAUUUGAAAUCUGGCGUCUUCGGCGUCCGAGUUGUAAUUUGCAGAGGGCGCUUUGGCAUUGGCAGCGGUCCAAGUUCCUUGGAACAGGACGUCACAGAGGGUGAGAAUCCCGUACGUGGUCGCUAGCCUUUACCGUGUAAAGCCCCUUCGACGAGUCGAGUUGUUUGGGAAUGCAGCUCUAAAUGGGAGGUAAAUUUCUUCUAAAGCUAAAUACUGGCCAGAGACCGAUAGCGCACAAGUAGAGUGAUCGAAAGAUGAAAAGCACUUUGGAAAGAGAGUUAAAAAGCACGUGAAAUUGUUGAAAGGGAAGCGCUUGCAGCCAGACUUGCCUGUAGUUGCUCAUCCGGGUUUUUACCCGGUGCACUCUUCUAUAGGCAGGCCAGCAUCAGUUUGGGCGGUUGGAUAAAGGUCUCUGUCAUGUACCUCCUUUCGGGGAGAACUUAUAGGGGAGACGACAUGCAACCAGCCUGGACUGAGGUCCGCGCAUCUGCUAGGAUGCUGGCGUAAUGGCUGUAAGCGGCCCGUCUUGAAACACGGACCAAGGAGUCUAACAUCUAUGCGAGUGUUUGGGUGUCAAGCCCGAACGCGUAAUGAAAGUGAACGGAGGUGGGAACCUUUCGGGGUGCACCAUCGACCGAUCCUGAUGUCUUCGGAUGGAUUUGAGUAAGAGCAUAGCUGUUGGGACCCGAAAGAUGGUGAACUAUGCUUGAAUAGGGUGAAGC
This 753-nucleotide ribosomal RNA is filed under the name Didymellaceae sp. ALY-2022a. RNAcentral describes it as "partial large subunit ribosomal RNA". It matches the Rfam family "Eukaryotic large subunit ribosomal RNA", at positions 81 to 852 of the family's 3401-position model. The record is from RNAcentral. Lineage: Eukaryota; Fungi; Ascomycota; Dothideomycetes; Pleosporales; Didymellaceae.